GGAGCUCCAGCGCAAGCGCACUGGAUGCGGGGGUCCUUAAGCCGUUCGCGGUCACGUGAAGGUGUCGCGGCGGCGACGCCCUCCUGGACCCAGUUCAGGCUGUGCUAUGCUGUAAAAUACUACUUUCUCCGCAUCUGGAAUUCUUCCCUUCCUCCUUCUUGCCGCAGUGGCGUACUGAGCACUUUCACGUAAGAGUAUUCAUCCACUCGAACAACCCCCUGGAGAAGUACUCCUGUCACUGCCACCGGCGAGAGUUUGUGGCUACCUCCCCGAGAUGCGGUCCCAGGGUUAUUGUGACCUAUGAUGUUUAUUAAGCUACUGUUGACGGGCUGCUGUGCACAGGAACGGAGUGCACAAGGAACCUGGUAGGCAAGACCCCUGCCAUCGUGCAGCUUACUGUCAGGUUGACACAGAUACUAAGAAAGAACAAAAUUUUAAAUACAUUGAAAACGACACCUGUAAUUUGAGAAGAUGCUUGACAUCAGGAGAGGAGAAGAGUGGAGAGAGGUGGAGUGGCAAAGAAGAGUCUCCAAACCAAAAGCCUGCGUGCAGAGGCCCUAGGAGGCAAGCACUUACCAUGUUUCGGGAAUAGAAACGAAACAUAUGACAAGACUCUUAAAAACAAAUAGAAUUGGGAUGGAAUAAAGUUGGAUGAGUAAGCAGACAUCAAAUCGUUCAGAAACUUGUAGUCCAAGUUGAAGAAUUUGUUUAGUAUUGUAUAAUAAAUGCAGAGGAAGCUAUGUACAUUUAUAAUUUACAUUUUUUAAAGGCCACGUUGUAGCUCAAUCGGAUAGUUUGUCUUUUGAUGGAAUGUAGUAUACAGUAUCAUCAUGAUAUAUUCCAGGCAAAAAUAUUUAACUUGAAUCUAUCAAGCCUUUGCAUCUAACAGACUUUAUAAAAAAAUACAACUGAUAGAUGAACAAACUAAAUGAUGCCAGAGGAAGUAACUAGACAGAAGGUGAAACCAGAAGGUGAAACAUUCUGCAGGAUAACUGGCCCAUCUCUUCAACAAUUUGUCAUGAAAAAAGCAACUGCUUAUGAAAAGAAAUUUAAGGGACAUAACAGUUUGAAUUGGAUCCUAGUUUGAACAGACUAUAAAAUGCAUUUUCAGGAACAUUAAAGAAAUAUGAAUGUAGAUGGACUAAGUAUUGGAUAAAAUAGAACUGUAUUGCCAUGGAAAAGAUCAUUAACUGAAAAGAGCAAGUCACGAAGUAGUAUGUUACAGCAUCCCAUUUUGGUUUAAAAAUGCACAUCUGUGUAUUUAGGUACAAUGAAAAAAAUAGUGGCCUUAUACCCUAAGGUGUUAGUAGUGGUAAUCUUUGGAAGUGGAAAUGUGUAUUUUCUUAUUUAUGUUUGCCUAUCUUUUUCAUUGUAACUUUUGCAGCACAUAGACUACUUUCAUUAUAGUAAAAGUUUAUUUUACCACAAUUUUUUUUUUUUUUUUUUUUUUUUUUUUUU
Molecule: long non-coding RNA, 1458 nt
Organism: Macaca mulatta (Rhesus monkey)
Lineage: Eukaryota; Metazoa; Chordata; Mammalia; Primates; Cercopithecidae
Source: RefSeq, a predicted model, not a curated record